Molecule: unclassified non-coding RNA, 261 nt
Filed under: Xylariaceae sp.
Lineage: Eukaryota; Fungi; Ascomycota; Sordariomycetes; Xylariales; Xylariaceae
Description: partial contains 5.8S ribosomal RNA, internal transcribed spacer 2, and large subunit ribosomal RNA
Source: RNAcentral
CGCACAUUGCGCCCACCAGCAUUCUGGCGGGCAUGCCUGUUCGAGCGUCAUAUCAACCCCUUGGGCCUUCGCCGCCCAGUGUUGGGAGGCCGCGCCCGCGACAGCGGCGCGCCUCCCUAAAUUCAGUGGCGGAGCCGGCUCGCGCUCUAGACGUAGUAGGUCUCUAUCUCGUCUGCAGUGCGCGCCGCCCUCCGGCCGUGAAGCCCCAUACGUACCACUUAGGUUGACCUCGGAUCAGGUAGGAAUACCCGCUGAACUUAA